UGUUUUAAUACCAAAUCUUGGUGCUUUU
This 28-nucleotide small RNA is filed under the name Bombyx mori (domestic silkworm). RNAcentral's name for it is "ovarian small RNA-9250". Lineage: Eukaryota; Metazoa; Arthropoda; Insecta; Lepidoptera; Bombycidae. The record is from RNAcentral.